This 66-nucleotide transfer RNA is filed under the name Trigonopteryx hopei. Its description in RNAcentral is "tRNA-Ser". Lineage: Eukaryota; Metazoa; Arthropoda; Insecta; Orthoptera; Trigonopterygidae. The record is from RNAcentral.
AAAUGUAAAGAUAAAUAUAAAAGCAGCUAACUUUUAAUAAUAGCGGUUUAAACCCGUUAACAUUUA